GACGAACGCUGGCGGCGUGCUUAACACAUGCAAGUCGAACGGAAAGGACCUGCUUUUGUGGGGUGCUCGAGUGGCGAACGGGUGAGUAACAUGUGAGUAACCUGCCCUUGACUUUGGGAUAACUUCAGGAAACUGGGGCUAAUACCGGAUAGGAGCUCCUGCUGCAUGGUGGGGGUUGGAAAGUUUCGGCGGUUGGGGAUGGACUCGCGGCUUAUCAGCUUGUUGGUGGGGUAGUGGCUUACCAAGGCUUUGACGGGUAGCCGGCCUGAGAGGGUGACCGGCCACAUUGGGACUGAGAUACGGCCCAGACUCCUACGGGAGGCAGCAGUGGGGAAUAUUGCACAAUGGGCGGAAGCCUGAUGCAGCAACGCCGCGUGCGGGAUGACGGCCUUCGGGUUGUAAACCGCUUUCGCCUGUGACGAAGCGUGAGUGACGGUAAUGGGUAAAGAAGCACCGGCUAACUACGUG
This 468-nucleotide ribosomal RNA is filed under the name uncultured bacterium. Its description in RNAcentral is "partial 16S ribosomal RNA". It matches the Rfam family "Bacterial small subunit ribosomal RNA", at positions 28 to 507 of the family's 1533-position model. The record is from RNAcentral.